RNAcentral lists this ribosomal RNA (336 nucleotides) under uncultured bacterium. Its description in RNAcentral is "partial 16S ribosomal RNA". It matches the Rfam family "Bacterial small subunit ribosomal RNA", at positions 338 to 666 of the family's 1533-position model. The record is from RNAcentral.
CCUACGGGUGGCAGCAGUGGGGAAUUUUGGACAAUGGGCGCAAGCCUGAUCCAGCUAUUCCGCGUGUGGGAUGACGGCCCUCGGGUUGUUAACCACUUUAGUAGAGAACGUAAAGUAGCUAUCGAAUAAAUAGCUCUGCUGACGUUACUCUAAGAAUAAGCAUCAGCUAACUACGUGCACGCAGCCGCGGUAAUACGUAGGGUGCGAGCGUUAAUUGGAAUUAUUGGGCGUAAAGGGUGUGCAGGCGGCUGGGUAAGACAGAUGUGAAAUCCCCGGGCUUAACCUGGGAACCGCAUAUGUGACUGGUUGGCUAGAGUGCGUCAGAGGGAGGUGGAA